Spinacia oleracea (spinach) is the source of this 1233-nucleotide long non-coding RNA. RefSeq lists it as uncharacterized. The transcript is spliced from 5 exons. Lineage: Eukaryota; Viridiplantae; Streptophyta; Magnoliopsida; Caryophyllales; Amaranthaceae. The record is from RefSeq and is a predicted model, not a curated record.
AUUUGCCACGCAGAUUUACAAAUUUGCGAUGCACUGCGUGUCCACCUAAGAAUGUACGAUAAUUUCGGUUUCUAAAAUUUAAUUAUUACCUUUUCCUUUUUUAUUUUAUUUGGUGCGACGCAGUCUACCUGCUCAUAUUCCCUUUCUCUCCUAUUCUCUCAUACAUAUCCUGCCUCCCCUGUACAACUCUUUCUCUCUCGUAUUUUCCAGAUCUCCAUUGUUGAAACUCCAAAGCUUCUCUGUCGAUCUCUCCUUCAAAAUCAAUAUCGAGCUUUCCCUUUAAAGUCUCCUCUCACCAAAUCAUCCCAAUCUCUCAUAUUUGUUUUAAAAUUCAAGCUUAGCGAAUACGAAGGAGGCAAACCCAGAUCUGAAAGCGAUGACUUCUUCAGCCAGAUUUCAAGCCGCGUUCUCUGAAAACUCCAGCUCUGAGUUGGAUGAAUCGGCGACGAAUCAUCUUGGGUGCGGUGGAAGUGGGGCUGAGUUUUGGGGCAUUAUGUUGAGUCGACUCAGACUGAGUUGGUCCCGAGUUACACCGGUACAUGCCUUCAAAUUGCAGAAAAGUGGGGAGAGAAAGAGGGAUAUAGCUGGGUUUUCGAAACAGUGAAAUCUGCAAGUGUCUUCUUCAUCUGCGAGCUUCCAUUCCAGCAUAUUGUCCAUGAAAUUUCUCAGGAUUUCAAGCAUUCACUUGAUUAUCAUACCCGAUUAUGGUCCAGUUGACAGUAACGUCAGAGGAGAAGUCAUGGCAGGAGUUGCACCUGAAGGUUCCCAAUAUGAUGCUCGCCAGUAUGACAGCAAAAUGAGUGAAUUUUUUCAGUACUGAACCUCUUGCUUGUGAUCCAUCAACGCUUCCAAAAUAUCCACCAACCAAGGAGAUGGAUGCCAAACGACGUGGUGACGAAGCACGAAGGACGGAUAUUGUUUCAGCGAUGCAUGGUGACAAAUCCGCUAACUUAAGUGUGGUUGGAAAAUGCCUAGAGAAGGUUUUAGAGGAGUCUCGUUUUGCGAAUAAGUUUGUGCUACCAUAUAAGGAAGUCCAUGAAGACUCCAGUAACACUUUUUUUGGGAUGGGUCCUUACAUGAAUUUCCCCUAUAGAAUAUUAUAACCGUAAGGUCUAGAUGUUGGUGCUCCGGUAUAUCUUUCCGGCUUCGAUACCAUAUUUUUGUUCUUUUGAUAAUUUCUGUAACUUUUAACAUUCUGGAAUUUUGUUUAAAUUGAAUGUCACUAUAUUUGCA